This 586-nucleotide ribosomal RNA is filed under the name Bacillus sp. (in: firmicutes). RNAcentral's name for it is "bacterial SSU rRNA". It matches the Rfam family "Bacterial small subunit ribosomal RNA", at positions 80 to 649 of the family's 1533-position model. The record is from RNAcentral. Lineage: Bacteria; Bacillati; Bacillota; Bacilli; Caryophanales; Bacillaceae.
UUGCUCUUAUGAAGUUAGCGGCGGACGGGUGAGUAACACGUGGGUAACCUGCCCAUAAGACUGGGAUAACUCCGGGAAACCGGGGCUAAUACCGGAUAACAUUUUGAACCGCAUGGUUCGAAAUUGAAAGGCGGCUUCGGCUGUCACUUAUGGAUGGACCCGCGUCGCAUUAGCUAGUUGGUGAGGUAACGGCUCACCAAGGCAACGAUGCGUAGCCGACCUGAGAGGGUGAUCGGCCACACUGGGACUGAGACACGGCCCAGACUCCUACGGGAGGCAGCAGUAGGGAAUCUUCCGCAAUGGACGAAAGUCUGACGGAGCAACGCCGCGUGAGUGAUGAAGGCUUUCGGGUCGUAAAACUCUGUUGUUAGGGAAGAACAAGUGCUAGUUGAAUAAGCUGGCACCUUGACGGUACCUAACCAGAAAGCCACGGCUAACUACGUGCCAGCAGCCGCGGUAAUACGUAGGUGGCAAGCGUUAUCCGGAAUUAUUGGGCGUAAAGCGCGCGCAGGUGGUUUCUUAAGUCUGAUGUGAAAGCCCACGGCUCAACCGUGGAGGGUCAUUGGAAACUGGGAGACUUGAGUGC